AAUGAACGCUGGCGGCGUGCUUAACACAUGCAAGUCGAACGAGAAAGUGGACUUCGGUCCAUGAGUAGAGUGGCGCACGGGUGAGUAACACGUGGGUAAUCUACCCUUCAAUUUGGGAUAACAUUGCGAAAGUGAUGCUAAUACCGAAUGACAUCCAGAGGUCUGCGGAUUUUUGGAUCAAAGAUGGCCAAUUCUUGAAAGCUAUUGUUGGAGGAUGAGCCCGCGUACCAUUAGCUUGUUGGUAGGGUAAUGGCCUACCAAGGCUACGAUGGUUAGCUGGUCUGAGAGGAUGAUCAGCCACACUGGAACUGACACACGGUCCAGACUCCUACGGGAGGCAGCAGUGAGGAAUUUUGCGCAAUGGGGGAAACCCUGACGCAGCAACGCCGCGUGAGUGAUGAAGGCUCUUGGGUCGUAAAACUCUGUCAGCAGGGAAGAAGUUACAUACGGUUAAUACCCGUAUGUAUUGACGGU
Molecule: ribosomal RNA, 474 nt
Filed under: uncultured bacterium
Lineage: Bacteria
Description: bacterial SSU rRNA
Rfam family: Bacterial small subunit ribosomal RNA
Source: RNAcentral